This 423-nucleotide ribosomal RNA is filed under the name uncultured bacterium. Its description in RNAcentral is "bacterial SSU rRNA". It matches the Rfam family "Bacterial small subunit ribosomal RNA", at positions 354 to 774 of the family's 1533-position model. The record is from RNAcentral.
GUGAGGAAUAUUGGUCAAUGGACGAGAGUCUGAACCAGCCAAAUCGCGUGAAGGAAGACUGCCCUACGGGUUGUAAACUUCUUUUGUACAGGAAUAAAAGACAUUACGUGUAAUGUAUUGCAUGUACUGUACGAAUAAGCAUCGGCUAACUCCGUGCCAGCAGCCGCGGUAAUACGGAGGAUGCGAGCGUUAUCCGGAUUUAUUGGGUUUAAAGGGUGCGCAGGCGGGAUUUUAAGUCAGCGGUGAAAUUUUCAGGCUCAACCUGAACACUGCCGUUGAAACUGGGAUUCUUGAGUAUGGAUGAAGUAGGCGGAAUUCGUUGUGUAGCGGUGACAUGCUUAGAUAUAACGAGGAACUCCGAUUGCGUAGGCAGCUUACUAAGCCAUAACUGACGCUCAAGCACGAAAGCGUGGGGAUCAAACA